RNAcentral lists this transfer RNA (75 nucleotides) under Alphaproteobacteria bacterium. RNAcentral describes it as "tRNA-Thr". It matches the Rfam family "tRNA". Rfam says of the family: Transfer RNA (tRNA) molecules are approximately 80 nucleotides in length. Lineage: Bacteria; Pseudomonadati; Pseudomonadota; Alphaproteobacteria. RNAcentral also lists the same sequence under 1 other name. The record is from RNAcentral.
GCCGUUGUAGCUCAGUGGUAGAGCACGUCAUUGGUAAUGACGGGGUCGAAAGUCCGAUUCUUUUCAGCGGCACCA